Molecule: ribosomal RNA, 406 nt
Filed under: uncultured bacterium
Lineage: Bacteria
Description: partial 16S ribosomal RNA
Rfam family: Bacterial small subunit ribosomal RNA
Source: RNAcentral
AUUGAACGCUGGCGGCAGGCCUAACACAUGCAAGUCGAACGAGUGGCGGACGGGUGAGUAAUGUCUGGGCAACUGCCUGAUGGAGGGGGCUAACUACUGGACCCGGUCGCUAAUACCGCAUACCAUCGGAUGUGCCCAGAUGGGAUUAGCUAGUAGGUGGGGUAACGGCUCACCUAGGCGACGAUCCCUAGCUGGUCUGAGAGGAUGACCAGCCAAACUGGAACUGAGACACGGUCCAGACUCCUACGGGAGGCAGCAGUGGGGAAUAUUGCACAAUGGGCGCAAGCCUGAUGCAGCCAUGCCGCGUGUAUGAAGAAGGCCUUCGGGUUGUAAAGUACUGUCAGCGGGGAGGCGGUACCCGCAGAAGAAGCACCGGCUAACUCCGUGCCAGCAGCCGCGGUAAUAC